This 713-nucleotide long non-coding RNA is filed under the name Cyanistes caeruleus (blue tit). RNAcentral describes it as "lncRNA (ENSCCEG00000005733.1)". The record is from RNAcentral. Lineage: Eukaryota; Metazoa; Chordata; Aves; Passeriformes; Paridae.
GGGCACUGCCAGCCUGCUGGGAGCGGGUGGUGACAGCAUUUCUGUCCCCUCUGCAGGGACCCGAGCCCCCCGGGGCGGGGCAGGGUGGCCCCCGGGGUCACAGCCAGGAGGAGGGAGAGAUCAGCAUCGCUGCCCCGGGACAGGCCAGAGCUGGAGCUCGGUCCAGAGCUCGGCUCCAGCGGAUCCCACCCAGCUUCCCCAUCCUCUGCCGCAGCCUCCGAGUCAGAGCCCUGCCCCUCCGGGCCCCGGGCACCCCCCGCCCUGCGGAAACACCUUGGGAAGCUCCCGGGGCCGGUGACACUUCGGGGACAGUACACAGGGACACGGUACCAGGCGGGGACACCACGCGCCACCCCGGCACCCCGAGGAGAGCCGGGCACCUCGGGGUGUCCCCGAUGUCACAGGAGCAGGAUGGCAUCAGCUGGAUUUGGGGGAGGCGAUGCCCCCCGGCAGCCCCGGCACAGCACCCUGAGGAGGACAUCCUGCCCCACCUGCCAGGCACCCACGGGCCCCUCUGUGCCGGGCAGCAGGGACAGAGCCACAGCCGAGCGUGGCCAUGGUGGCUCCUGUGCCACCCACGCUGGAGCUGAGAAGCUGGAGCAACCGGGAAUUUGGUACUUGGCAGCCACCCCUGCCGCCACCACCGCCACCGUCUGCCUGGCACCCGUCCCCCUCGUGCCUUACGUGCCCUCCGUGCUGUAAGGAUGCCCUGG